Molecule: small RNA, 618 nt
Filed under: Phoma herbarum
Lineage: Eukaryota; Fungi; Ascomycota; Dothideomycetes; Pleosporales; Didymellaceae
Description: eukaryotic LSU rRNA
Rfam family: Eukaryotic large subunit ribosomal RNA
Source: RNAcentral
GUGCAUAUCAAUAAGCGGAGGAAAAGAAACCAACAGGGAUUGCCCUAGUAACGGCGAGUGAAGCGGCAACAGCUCAAAUUUGAAAUCUGGCGUCUUUGGCGUCCGAGUUGUAAUUUGCAGAGGGCGCUUUGGCAUUGGCAGCGGUCCAAGUUCCUUGGAACAGGACGUCACAGAGGGUGAGAAUCCCGUACGUGGUCGCUAGCCUUUACCGUGUAAAGCCCCUUCGACGAGUCGAGUUGUUUGGGAAUGCAGCUCUAAAUGGGAGGUAAAUUUCUUCUAAAGCUAAAUACUGGCCAGAGACCGAUAGCGCACAAGUAGAGUGAUCGAAAGAUGAAAAGCACUUUGGAAAGAGAGUUAAAAAGCACGUGAAAUUGUUGAAAGGGAAGCGCUUGCAGCCAGACUUGCCUGUAGUUGCUCAUCCGGGUUUUUACCCGGUGCACUCUUCUACAGGCAGGCCAGCAUCAGUUUGGGCGGUUGGAUAAAGGUCUCUGUCAUGUACCUCUCUUCGGGGAGAACUUAUAGGGGAGACGACAUGCAACCAGCCUGGACUGAGGUCCGCGCAUCUGCUAGGAUGCUGGCGUAAUGGCUGUAAGCGGCCCGUCUUGAAACACGGGACCA